This 732-nucleotide ribosomal RNA is filed under the name uncultured Corynebacterium sp. RNAcentral describes it as "bacterial SSU rRNA". It matches the Rfam family "Bacterial small subunit ribosomal RNA", at positions 28 to 776 of the family's 1533-position model. Lineage: Bacteria; Bacillati; Actinomycetota; Actinomycetes; Mycobacteriales; Corynebacteriaceae. The record is from RNAcentral.
GACGAACGCUGGCGGCGUGCUUAACACAUGCAAGUCGAACGGAAAGGCCUUUUCGGAGGUACUCGAGUGGCGAACGGGUGAGUAACACGUGGGUGAUCUGCCCUGCACUCUGGGAUAAGCCUGGGAAACUGGGUCUAAUACCGGAUAGGACCGCACUUUAGUGUGUGUGGUGGAAAGUUUUUUCGGUGUAGGAUGAGCCCGCGGCCUAUCAGCUUGUUGGUGGGGUAAUGGCCUACCAAGGCGGCGACGGGUAGCCGGACUGAGAGGUUGGUCGGCCACAUUGGGACUGAGAUACGGCCCAGACUCCUACGGGAGGCAGCAGUGGGGAAUAUUGCACAAUGGGCGCAAGCCUGAUGCAGCGACGCCGCGUGGGGGAUGACGGCCUUCGGGUUGUAAACUCCUUUCGCCAGGGACGAAGCGUUUUGUGACGGUACCUGGAGAAGAAGCACCGGCUAACUACGUGCCAGCAGCCGCGGUAAUACGUAGGGUGCAAGCGUUGUCCGGAAUUACUGGGCGUAAAGAGCUCGUAGGUGGUUUGUCACGUCGUCUGUGAAAUUCCACAGCUUAACUGUGGGCGUGCAGGCGAUACGGGCUGACUUGAGUACUGUAGGGGUAACUGGAAUUCCUGGUGUAGCGGUGAAAUGCGCAGAUAUCAGGAGGAGCACCGAUGGCGAAGGCAGGUUACUGGGCAGUUACUGACGCUGAGGAGCGAAAGCAUGGGUAGCAAACAGG